CCUACGGGUGGCAGCAGUGGGGAAUAUUGGACAAUGGGCGCAAGCCUGAUCCAGCCAUGCCGCGUGCGUGAAGAAGGCCUUAGGGUUGUAAAGCGCUUUCACUGGUGAAGAUGAUGACGGUAGCCAGAGAAGAAGCCCCGGCUAACUCCGUGCCAGCAGCCGCGGUAAUACGGAGGGGGCAAGCGUUGUUCGGAAUUACUGGGCGUAAAGGGCGCGUAGGCGGAACAUUAAGUUAGGGGUGAAAGGCCCGGGCUCAACCUGGGAACGGCCUCUAAGACUGAUGAUCUUGAGUCCGGAAGAGGAUGGCGGAAUUCCCAGUGUAGAGGUGAAAUUCGUAGAUAUUGGGAAGAACACCGGUGGCGAAGGCGGCCAUCUGGUCCGGCACUGACGCUGAGGCGCGAAAGCGUGGGGAGCAAACAGGAUUAGAUACCCUAGUAGUC
This 440-nucleotide ribosomal RNA is filed under the name uncultured bacterium. RNAcentral's name for it is "bacterial SSU rRNA". It matches the Rfam family "Bacterial small subunit ribosomal RNA", at positions 338 to 795 of the family's 1533-position model. The record is from RNAcentral.